This 28-nucleotide non-coding RNA is filed under the name Mus musculus (house mouse). Lineage: Eukaryota; Metazoa; Chordata; Mammalia; Rodentia; Muridae. The record is from RNAcentral.
GCCAUUUGGAAAAUCCUGCUGUUACGAG